Molecule: ribosomal RNA, 680 nt
Filed under: Rahnella sp. AS2.15
Lineage: Bacteria; Pseudomonadati; Pseudomonadota; Gammaproteobacteria; Enterobacterales; Yersiniaceae
Description: bacterial SSU rRNA
Rfam family: Bacterial small subunit ribosomal RNA
Source: RNAcentral
UGGCUCAGAUUGAACGCUGGCGGCAGGCCUAACACAUGCAAGUCGAGCGGCAGCGGGAAGUAGCUUGCUACUUUGCCGGCGAGCGGCGGACGGGUGAGUAAUGUCUGGGAAACUGCCUGAUGGAGGGGGAUAACUACUGGAAACGGUAGCUAAUACCGCAUGACCUCGAAAGAGCAAAGUGGGGGAUCUUCGGACCUCACGCCAUCGGAUGUGCCCAGAUGGGAUUAGCUAGUAGGUGAGGUAAUGGCUCACCUAGGCGACGAUCCCUAGCUGGUCUGAGAGGAUGACCAGCCACACUGGAACUGAGACACGGUCCAGACUCCUACGGGAGGCAGCAGUGGGGAAUAUUGCACAAUGGGCGCAAGCCUGAUGCAGCCAUGCCGCGUGUGUGAAGAAGGCCUUAGGGUUGUAAAGCACUUUCAGCGAGGAGGAAGGCAUCANACUUAAUACGUGUGGUGAUUGACGUUACUCGCAGAAGAAGCACCGGCUAACUCCGUGCCAGCAGCCGCGGUAAUACGGAGGGUGCAAGCGUUAAUCGGNAUUACUGGGCGUAAAGCGCACGCAGGCGGUUUGUUAAGUCAGAUGUGAAAUCCCCGCGCUUAACGUGGGAACUGCAUUUGAAACUGGCAAGCUAGAGUCUUGUAGAGGGGGGUAGAAUUCCAGGUGUAGCGGUGAAAUGC